GCGKRAAAGCUCAAAUUUGAAAUCUGGCAGUCUUUUUUUUCUUCUUUGGCUGUCCGAGUUGUAAUCUAGAGAAGUGCUUACCUGCACUGGACCAUGUAUAAGUCUCCUGGAAUGGAGCGUCGCAGAGGGUGAGAAUCCCGUCUUUGACAUGGACUGCCAGUGUGUUGUGGUGUGCUCUCAAAGAGUCGAGUUGUUUGGGAAUGCAGCUCUAAAUGGGUGGUAAACUCCAUCUAAAGCUAAAUAUUGGCGAGAGACCGAUAGUGAACAAGUACCGUGAGGGAAAGAUGAAAAGGACUUUGGAAAGAGAGUUAAACAGUAUGUGAAAUUGUUGAAAGGGAAACGCUUGAAGUCAGUUAUGUUGGCUAGGGAUCAACCUAGCUGUUUUUUUGCUGGGUGAAUUUCCUAGUCUGACAGGCCAACAUCAGUCUUGACUGCUGGAAAAGAGCAGAGGGAAUGUGGCACCUUUGGGUGUGUUAUAGCCUUUUGUCAUAUGUGGCAGUUGGGACUGAGGGAUGCAGCAUGCCGCGAGGCUGGGUUUCUGACCACGUUCAUGCUCAGGAUGUUGGCUUUUAAUGGCUUCAAUCGACCCGUCUUGAAACACGGACCAAGGAGUCUAACAUGCCUGCGAGUGUUUGGGUGGGGAAAACCCUUGUGCACAAUGAAAGUGAAAGUUGAGAUCCCUGUCAUGGGGAGCAUCGACGCCCGGACCUGAGCUUUUAGCAAUGGAUCCGCGGUAGAGCAUGCAUGUUGGGACCCGAAAGAUGGUGAACUAUGCCUGAAUAGGGCAAAGCCAGAGGAAACUCUGGUGGAGGCUCGUAGCGAUUCUGACGUGCAAAUNGNUCGUCAAAUNNGGUAU
Molecule: ribosomal RNA, 856 nt
Filed under: Amanita mansehraensis
Lineage: Eukaryota; Fungi; Basidiomycota; Agaricomycetes; Agaricales; Amanitaceae
Description: eukaryotic LSU rRNA
Rfam family: Eukaryotic large subunit ribosomal RNA
Source: RNAcentral